CACAAGCGGUGGAUCAUGUUGUUUAAUUCGAUGAUACGCGAAGAACCUUACCAGGUCUUGACACUCCCCGCGAUGCUUUUAGAGAUAAAGCGGAGGUAUUCGGGGAGACAGGUGGUGCAUGGUUGUCGUCAGCUCGUGUCGUGAGAUGUUGGGUUAAGUCCCGCAACGAGCGCAACCCCUAUUGCUAGUUACCAUCAUUAAGUUGGGGACUCUAGCGAGACUGCCAGUGAUAAACUGGAGGAAGGUGGGGAUGACGUCAAAUCAUCAUGCCCCUUAUGACCUGGGCUACAAACGUGAUACAAUGGCUGGAACAAAGGGAUGCGAAGCAGUGAUGUGGAGCGAAACCCAUAAAAACAGUCUCAGUUCGGAUUGAAGUCUGCAACUCGACUUCAUGAAGUCGGAAUCGCUAGUAAUCGCGGAUCAGAACGCCGCGGUGAAUACGUUCUCGGGGUUU
Molecule: ribosomal RNA, 454 nt
Filed under: uncultured Acholeplasma sp.
Lineage: Bacteria; Bacillati; Mycoplasmatota; Mollicutes; Acholeplasmatales; Acholeplasmataceae
Description: bacterial SSU rRNA
Rfam family: Bacterial small subunit ribosomal RNA
Source: RNAcentral